Molecule: long non-coding RNA, 1635 nt
Organism: Mus musculus (house mouse)
Lineage: Eukaryota; Metazoa; Chordata; Mammalia; Rodentia; Muridae
Product: predicted gene 12916
Exons: 4
Source: RefSeq, a predicted model, not a curated record
GGUUGCUCACGGGCCCCACUACAGAAGCUUGAGAGUUUUCCCGGCUCAGCCAUUACCCAGAAAGCUCACGGCUGUGUGUGCACUGUGGCCGUGCCUGAUGUGCUGAGGGACUCGUUUAGGAAUGCUGUCAUUUGGCUUGGGGAAGGGCCAGGCCUCUCUCUGCCCAUAGCAUUGAGGACAGAGGCACAGGUCUCCGUCACUGGGCUGACAGCUUCCAUUCUUCCAAAUCUCAUCUUCCGAGCUAGUCUGCCAUGGAUGAAGUGGGCAUGCAUGUGUUUUAUGCUUUGUACUUCUGCCUCCGUCCAUCUACAAUCCUAGGCAACACUGAAACCACACUCCUCUGAACCACUGUGUGCACCGGCGAGGCCUUCUCAUGGAUGGUCGCAGUCAUUCUCAUUUCUGCGCAUGCUUCCUCCAGGCCAGGCUCACAGGUGGGCCUGCCGGGUGAUUCUGGAUCCUGUGAAGUUGACAGCUUACAUUAACCAUCACACGUAGCAUGCAAAAUCUGAUUUCUUAAUGGAAGAUACAGCACAAGAUCUGGGAGAAAUUUCAAUGUUGUGUAAAAGGAACACCGUAGAAGAACGAAGUCCUAUGAGGAGAAUUCUUUGUGAGAAAACCUGAGACUUGUGACCUCGGUUUCUUCAAAACAUGGACUUAUUCUUGGGAUGGUUUUGUGCUCCUCCCAGGUGUAGUGGAUGGAGUGGGUGGACUUCAGAUUACUCAUUAGUGCUUGCAGUUGUUGUUAAGUGUUUAGACAAUCCUUUCUAGUCCUCUAGAGAAAACCAUGGUUUUUACCACAUGGGGCUUGUUCUUGUGAUUUUAUACAGCACGAAACUCAUGAGAACUUUAUUCAUGUGAUUUUUCUUAACCCUCAGAGUAUAAAUUGUCCGAAGCCCUGAAUAGAGAUGAGCAUUGCAUGAGAUUGUAGCCUCCUUGUUUAUCGGCUCUAUUCUCCCACAUGUGAAGGUUAUCACGAUAAUCACAUCCACUCAGGCACCGAAAGACGAGUAUUACAUGCCUUCUGUCCUUGCGGAUCCCAGAUUUUUAUAUCAAUACAGAAAGGUGUCUACUUACCAUGUACACAGCAUGAAAGAAGAAGCUAAAGGGAAGGGGAUGAGUGGGGUGGGAAAAGGAGAGAAAGGAGAGAGUGCAAACGGGAGGACGUGCUGGGAGGGCAUGCUGUACUCACAUGCAAGUGUCCUCCUGAAACCCAGGACUAUGUGCAGGGGCAGCACGCCAGAGGGACCGUGCAUUAAAGAGCUGUGAGUAGGGCACGCGUUUGAGGGCUUUCUACUCAUUAGCUGGCUGACUUCUCAUGGCCACCAUUGUUAUCUUUACCUUAAUAAUGAAGAAACGAAACCGAAGUGCAAAGAACUUUCCCAGAGUUUCAUAGAAGAUACAGGCAUGCUGCAAACUAAUGAUCUUUCAUUUGAAAAUAAUUAAAAAAUUUUUUUGAGAUUAUACUUACUAUGCCCCCUGACUUUUCCUUUCCUUUCUCCAAUCUUCCCUGUGUACCUCCAUCUUGUUCUUUUUGAAAUUUAUGGCUUCUUUGUAAAAUUGUAUUGUUCUUAACGUGUGUGCAUGUGUGUGUGUGUGUUUCUAAACACAUAAAUACAACCUUUAUCAGUCUGUAUU